This 200-nucleotide ribosomal RNA is filed under the name uncultured bacterium. Its description in RNAcentral is "partial 16S ribosomal RNA". It matches the Rfam family "Bacterial small subunit ribosomal RNA", at positions 29 to 259 of the family's 1533-position model. The record is from RNAcentral.
AACGAACGCUGGCGGCAGGCUUAACACAUGCAAGUCGAACGCUCCGCAAGGAGAGUGGCAGACGGGUGAGUAACGCGUGGGAAUCUACCUAGUUCUACGGAACAACAGUUGGAAACGACUGCUAAUACCGUAUACGCCCUACGGGGAAAGAUUUAUCGGAAUUAGAUGAGCCCGCGUAAGGUUAGCUAGUUGGUGAGGUA